GGAGAGAUGGCUGAGUUCGGUUGAAGGCGCUCGACUCGAAAUCGAGUGAGCCGUUGAUAGCGGCUCCGUGGGUUCGAAUCCCACUCUCUCCGCCA
Molecule: transfer RNA, 95 nt
Filed under: Syntrophomonas wolfei subsp. wolfei str. Goettingen G311
Lineage: Bacteria; Bacillati; Bacillota; Clostridia; Eubacteriales; Syntrophomonadaceae
Description: tRNA-Ser (CGA) (tRNA-Ser-CGA-1-1)
Rfam family: tRNA
About the family: Transfer RNA (tRNA) molecules are approximately 80 nucleotides in length.
Source: RNAcentral